Molecule: ribosomal RNA, 453 nt
Filed under: Triticum aestivum (bread wheat)
Lineage: Eukaryota; Viridiplantae; Streptophyta; Magnoliopsida; Poales; Poaceae
Description: partial small subunit ribosomal RNA
Source: RNAcentral
AUGCAAUGGAGAAGCAAUGUACAUGCAGCAGCCAUGCUACAUGUCAGGCCAGCAGCACAGGCCGUGGCUAAUGCAACCUACUACUCACAGAUGCAGCCACAGAUAAUGUAUCCGAGUGCGGAGAUGAUGGCGCAUGGCAAUGUACAGGCACAGGCGCAGGCCGCCAUGUACUACCAGGCAGCAUCUCCGAACAACUCCAACACUCAACAAAUGCGCGUACUCCAGUUCCCCCCGGCCGCCGGCAGCUACGGGGCGCCUGACGCCUACUCCCACCGCCCCGUGCUUCUGAAUCUGUUCCCACAGCACCCCACCUUUGCAAAUCGCAAGAAGACCCAUCGCGUCGGGAGCGUUGGCUCCGUGAGGCCAUCGACCUCAGGGUCGAUCUCUUGGGAAACGGAGAGUCCCAAGAUCCCCAAUAGACACAUUUUUGUCGAUCUAAGACUUCUUUGGUGA